ACUUGUUGCUGCUAGCGAGGGUGUGGGCGACGGUGGAAAAACCAGAAAAUAGAGGAAAACAAAGCAGGAAAAUUGUUAAACCUCAUCCCAGCCCCGCACUUUUUACUCUUUCGCUUCUGGACACGCGGAUAUCUCGAUGUGUGGACGCUGCAAGGGGAUGGAUUUAAAAAAGGUAAAAGGCAUCGCGGGACACGGAUUUGUGCGGAUAAAAAAGGGUAGCGGGAUUAAAAGAGUAAAAAAGAGGAAUUAUUAAGGACAGAGGGAACUGAUUGAGGAGAGAGACAACAAGAGGGCCAUGAUCACUGAGACGAAUGUGAUGCUACAGACGAAACAGCAACUACGGCCUUGAUGAGAAUAACCAAC
Molecule: long non-coding RNA, 363 nt
Organism: Cotesia glomerata
Lineage: Eukaryota; Metazoa; Arthropoda; Insecta; Hymenoptera; Braconidae
Exons: 3
Source: RefSeq, a predicted model, not a curated record